CAAAAGUCAAACCCUAAAUCCCUAUCAGAAAAUCGAAAUCCCUAAUUCAACAUCAGUUUCAGAGGUCUCCGACUCCGCCUCUCGAUCUCUCCAUUUUUUCGACCAAAAGUCAGCUCAUCUAUCUUCUUCUUUGGCCAAAAAUCAGCUCAGCUCAUCUCUUCUUCUUCUUCUUCUUCAAUUUCAGUAACCAGCUCCCCUCUCUCGAUGGCAACCUCAUCGAAUUCGAUCCACUCAGACUUAGCUCUAUUAUCACUUGCGAGUUCAGCUUCUCAAGAUCUAGAAGCUGAUAGAGGAAAUGGGAAUGAGAAUCAUGAGAUUGUUGCUUUCCCCUAACAAGGUGAGAAUAAGGAACCAAAACAUGUAGUAGAAGGUGAAGAAGAAGGAGCAUCAACUCAGGCAUCCCAGGGUGAGGCAAAAAAGAGAAAAAAGAGAAAAAGAUAGGCAAAUGAAGAAGGCUGCCCGGGGUCGUGGGUGUGGGAGCAUUACGACAAGUACGACAGUCCACCCUUCAUUGAAAAAGAAGGGAAGAAAGAGGAAGUUCAAUUUGAGAAUCGUGCAAAAUGCAGGGCAAUGUUGCGAGCUACGGCUAGAUGAAGGAACUCGAUUGCGUGGUCGCCCAAUAGUACUUUUGCAGGCGUUAUUAGUUGAGGUCGGGCGUACGUGGUUCGAGGCAUAGUUGAUGAAUGGCUUCCGCACUUCUUUGUUGGCUCUGAUCUACUGUGGAUUUGUGUUUUGGGUAGUCCACUUUAGGGGUGACUCGACCAGUUCUCGAUUGAGUUAUCUCUAAGGUGGGCCCCGCAGGGCCACCUCGGAUUUCAGGGUGAAAUCCAAGGCGGGUCCUGUCAUAAAUCAUGAAAUAUUGAUAAAUUAUUCAUGCUCAAAUAUUAUCAUAAAAGUCAA
Rosa rugosa (rugosa rose) is the source of this 900-nucleotide long non-coding RNA. RefSeq lists it as uncharacterized. Lineage: Eukaryota; Viridiplantae; Streptophyta; Magnoliopsida; Rosales; Rosaceae. The record is from RefSeq and is a predicted model, not a curated record. The transcript has 3 exons.